CUCAUUUCCAGCAGCCACACAAAACCCUUAGAAGAUCCGAGCUCGAGUGGAGCACGGUGACCUGCCGAUACUCGGAGAUUUUUGCUGUAUAUAAGUUUUGCAGACACAGGGAUCCUUUUGAUA
Zingiber officinale is the source of this 123-nucleotide long non-coding RNA. RefSeq lists it as uncharacterized. The record is from RefSeq and is a predicted model, not a curated record. NCBI's taxonomy places the organism in Eukaryota, Viridiplantae, Streptophyta, Magnoliopsida, Zingiberales, Zingiberaceae. The transcript has 3 exons.